Long non-coding RNA from Dicentrarchus labrax (European seabass), 1093 nucleotides. RefSeq lists it as uncharacterized. The transcript is spliced from 2 exons. NCBI's taxonomy places the organism in Eukaryota, Metazoa, Chordata, Actinopteri, Moronidae. The record is from RefSeq and is a predicted model, not a curated record.
GAAAACCCGUCAGAGUGGCACCUCCGUUUUUUUCUCUUAUCUCCGGUCGUGCCUACACCCGUCCUGACGUUCCCCGCGAAUUUUAUCCACGCCGCUCCGCCAAAUCCACUCAUUUUCCACACCUACCUGACAUGCGGCAUUUGCGGGGAGAAAGGGGCAGAGAAAAAACACGCAUCGCUCCGCUGUGGAUUUGUAAACGUUAUUGUGCUUUGGAUCGAGCGGGUUUGAUGCCGGGACAACUUUCCCCCUCACGACGCAGAGACAGAAACAGACAACAAUAGAUUAUAAAACAGUCUGCUGCAGUUCGGCUGCAAGGUCGAUGUGGAUUUUUUUUUUUUUUUUUUGCAUUUUUUUUUUUAGCAUUUUUCUCCCAUCCAACAAAAUCCCUAAAAUAUUAAUAUAGAAUCACAGCUGUGAGUUUAUUGUGACUUUUUGACAUGGUGAUGAAUGUCUCCUAUGCCACUCACGAAAUUGACGGAGAGCACGGCCGUCCCUACCUGCCAUAUAUCAUUUUCACUGAGGUCAUCUGAGGAGAGCAGCGGGUGCAGGAAAUAUGGGAAAGGUACAGGAGGUGUGUUUUUUUUUUUUUCCUCCUUUUUCUUUGGGUGGGGUUUUUGUCUCGCUUUAUUGCGGCCACGUUUUUGCGCGCACGCCAUUUUUUCCGUGCGCUUUUACGCACAGCGACACAGACUGAACGGCGAUUGGGACUCAAAGUGGAGCGAAGCGAUCCUGAAGGGGACAAAAGAAAAAGGCAGAAGAGCACCGGGGGGGCCAAGCGCUGGCUGAGGUAGUAGUUUGUGCUGUUGGUCGGGUUGACAUAUUACCCAUUGUGGAGAUGACUGCGCAAUCUACUGCCUUGCCGGCGCUGGUGACUUGCGACAGAGGAAUCAAACCGGAUCAACAUUCAUGACUGAACUCACUUGACUGUUUGUAAACAGAAUAACCCGAAUGGGAGCGAACAUGCCUUCAUAAUAACCAAGUCUCCUGUAAAACUACCGUGCGUAAAUUGAAUUGAAAUUGAUGGAACUGUCACACAUAUGUUAAAAUGUCUCUGGUUGUAGAUACAUUUGUGAAUAAAGUGAUUUUAAUGGUA